AAAGCAUGAUAUUGAUUUGCAUAACACAUAUUCAAGAUGAAGUUGUGUAGUUACCACCACCAAAUCCAAAUUGCCGUGUAUCCUACUUCAUUAUUUGUUUAAGUUAACCCCAUUGAGCCUUGUUAGCCUACGUUCUUUGUUAACCCACGUUAUCCUCACCUAGCCUAGAUUAGGACCAUCCAUACCCUUGUUCUUAAAGCAUAGUAAAGCAUGAUUCAAAUUGAAUUCCUUUUGAGUAAUGUUUGGCAGAAAACAAGUGUGGGGGAAGUGUUUCUCACGUAAGUAGUGUGCCAUAGGCACGGGUGGAAAGAAAAGAAAAGAAAAAUUCGUGCUAUGAAAAAAAAAAAAAAAAAGUUGAAUUUGACCCUAUAGAGUUGUUUAAAUCUUUCCCUUAUGUCUAAAAGUUGAUUUCUGCAAUCUAAGUGAAUUCUAAGUUCAAGUUCAUUACUUUAUUUGCUAUUGCUUUAAGAACGUUUGUUUUCCCUUACUUUCAUUUGUUAGCCAACACCCCAAGCCCCGUUACAACCUUUGACUUCAAUCUUGAGUGUUAUGUGUUUCAAUUUGUGGAGUUUGAAUUUGGUAUGAGCAUAUGGUGUCACUGGUUCUCGCAUCUAAGUAGUAGCAUUCCAUUCAUGAGAUCAUAUCUAAACAUGCUCCAGAAAUCGCUUUCUUUGUAAUACAUAUAUGUGAGCGUUCGUUUUCAUGUUUACAUCAAUCUUCUCACAUAUAACUAGUAUAGGGUGUGUAGUUAGAAAAUCUGAGUGAAAAUUGAGUUAAUAUCUUGUAAGGACUUGAGCAAAUUCUCUAAGGCAUGUUACUACAUUCAAAACAUUGUUUUAAUUGCUUAAAUGUGAACUAGUAAGUGGUGACUAUGAUUAAGUAUGUGCUUAAGUGUGAAGACAACUAAAAUCUGUGGGGAUGACAAUUUUUAAUAUGUCAUGUGCAUUGGAAAUCCCUGAGGCAAACGUUGGAAGGUUUAGGUUGGGUUUUGUUGGUUUUGUUGGUUUUGUUUUGUUUAGUUAUUUUGUUUUGCUCGAGGACUAGCAAAAGCUAAGUGUGGGGGAAUUUGAUAAGAGCAUAUUUAUGCGACUUAGUUAGCUUGUUCUUGCGCAUUUAUGUUGUGUUUUCUUGGUUAUUUUAGUGUUUAAAGUCAUUUUUGUGUGUUUUCAGAUUCUAAGGACAAAGUAUGCAAGAAGAUGCAUUUUGGAGGCCUUUGGAGCAGUUUCGGGUUUGGAAUGGAUAGGAAAUGCAUGGAGCAAGGUGGAUGGAUGAAAUUGAAGACAAAAGAGGCUAAGAAUGUGAAGAAUUAUUGUACAAAGGAUAAAGAACUCAGCCACAAAAGGGUGUCACUCCACAAUGCACCUUCCUUGCCGUGCAAUCACCAUUGUAUUCCCUCUGGAUUCCCAUGCCAUGCUUAAUCACCCUUGUCCCCUACAUUAUUUCUGAUUUCAUGCCUCAAUACAUUUAAUUAUUACACUCAAUUGCUGCAUACCUCUUGUUCCCUUCACCCAUCAGAUUUCAUACAACUUUCACAACCAUUACAUGCACCAAUUGAUGCUCCAUCAGCCACCUUUGGAAUCCCAUGCCGUGUGCAACACAUGUGGCUGCACCUUUGACUCAUUUCUGAAACAUUUCACCUCCCUUUUCAUUUCUAUUCAAUGUGCACAAUCAUUCAUGCUCCCUAGCUACAACACCACUCCAUUUUACCCUCCAUACUUUGCAUCAUUACUUCAUUUUCAUCCUUGGACCAUUGCACACCACAAAUUCACCCUCCUUGCUGUGCACUUCCUCCAUUGCCUAACCUGAUUCUCUAGGGUUUUUGGGGCCUAUAUAUACAUGUUUACACCCCUUGGCCAAGGAAACCACCUCCCAUAUUCAUCAUUCAUCACAGAAAAUUCGUCCAUACACACCCUAGGCAGCAAUACACCCCAAAAACACCAUUCUAGUGCCCAAAAAACAUAACAGCCACUCCACCUUAUUCCACCCUCCUUGCCGAGUUCUCCACCACCCUCCAACCAUCAAACACUCCUCCACACUCACCCUAAACCUUUCCAUACCAUUCCCCAUCCAUUCUACACCAUAAAACUACCCAAAACCUGUCCACAAACCAAUCUGCCGCAAGCAAGGGAAAGGAGAAAUCUUGGAUGCACUUGCUGCCAAGUUGGAGCAUUCUAGGUGUUUUCUUUCUUUGGAUUUUAAUGUCUAAUUCAUGUAAUCUUUGUUUUGCUUUAAGUAUGAUUGGCUAAUUUUGUUUUGGCUAAGGGUGUAUUCAAAACCAUGAUUAUAUAUGUGAAAUAAGUUGAUUACUUCCAGUUAUCGUUGCAUAAGUCGUUAAUACAAUUUGCUUAACCGUUGGAUUUAGAACUUAUUCUUGCAUGUUGAUUGAGAGUGCACGCUUAAUUUGCAUGCUUGAAUUUGGUGCUAGGAUAUAAAUUUGUUUCACCUAAUCGUUAUGAAUUUAUAUUCGCAAGUAGUGAAGGUCGCUAGUCACGAUCGUGUUAAGUAGAUUCCUGGCAAAAGUAUCAUGCUUUUCAUAGUUACAAAUGCCUUGUCGAUGCUUAUGAUUUCCAAAGAACGUAAUGAUUCUAACUUGUGUCUUUAUCAUGUUGUUCAUAUAGAGAACUUGUUAGGAAUAAUUUGUUUGCGAUGCAUAUUCAUCCAAUUCAAUGAUUCUAGGGAAAUCUGAAGGUUAAUUUAAGCGGACCUAAUUAACUUGGAGUGUCGAGGUUCAUAACUUAUUGAAUUGAUAACUGGAAAUUGAUUUACGUUGCAUAUAUUUCAUGUGUGGAGAAGAAACCCUUAGCUAUUCCAUCAUCCAUUGAUUCAUCACAAUUUUGUCUUACAAUCUGCCAAAUUAAUUUAAUUUCCUCCAAACACAAUUCCCCCAUAUUUUGUUGAGUCUUAGUCAUUCAAAUCUGUGUUAUUUUGUGUUCUUAAGCAUUUGGAGUCAUAAACACUUUGGAUUCUGUCCAAAUCAAGUUCUAGUUUCUUUUUGAGUCAAUUUGAUUGUUUUAGGCAGUUUUGAGUGCUUUAAAUCUGUUUUAAGUCAUAGUAGUCUUGUUAGAGUCUUUAAGUUUAGUUUUUGUGUUUUUGAAUCAAUUUAUAUUAGAUUAGCACCCCUAGUUAAUCCCUGGUUAGAACGAUCCCUACUUACAUCAUUACUACAAUUGUCACAAAUAGGGUUUAAUUUGUGUGUUUAGUUAUUUUAUGCAUGAAGUAU
Molecule: long non-coding RNA, 3220 nt
Filed under: Malus domestica (apple)
Lineage: Eukaryota; Viridiplantae; Streptophyta; Magnoliopsida; Rosales; Rosaceae
Description: long non-coding RNA (MDOM_LNC019102)
Source: RNAcentral